UACGGAGGGUGCAAGCGUUGUCCGGAUUUAUUGGGUUUAAAGGGUGCGUAGGCGGCCUUUUAAGUCAGUGCUGAAAUACUCUAGCUUAACUAGAGGGGUGGCAUUGAUACUGAAAGGCUUGAGUGAAGUCGAGGUAGGCGGAAUUGACGGUGUAGCGGUGAAAUGCUUAGAUAUCGUCAAGAACACCGAUAGUGAAGACAGCUUACUAGACUUCAACUGACGCUGAGGCACGAAAGUGUGGGGAUCAAACAGG
RNAcentral lists this ribosomal RNA (253 nucleotides) under uncultured bacterium. RNAcentral describes it as "partial 16S ribosomal RNA". It matches the Rfam family "Bacterial small subunit ribosomal RNA", at positions 524 to 776 of the family's 1533-position model. The record is from RNAcentral.